This 361-nucleotide long non-coding RNA is filed under the name Setaria viridis. RNAcentral describes it as "long non-coding RNA (SVIR_LNC002564)". Lineage: Eukaryota; Viridiplantae; Streptophyta; Magnoliopsida; Poales; Poaceae. The record is from RNAcentral.
ACUAAGAAACAAUCAUCCAGCUUAGUUUAAUUUACAAGAUCAAAUGGAUGCAAUUAGCUUAAUUUUUAUAGCUCGUUCAAGGAUAUAAUUUAUUUAGUAAAAUACGUCAGGGUCCUUGAAUUUUUUUUCCUGAAUUCUCACAUAAAGGAAACUAAGUGGUUCACUCUAAAGACAAUGGUCAGAUGCACGUUCUUCUAAUUUGUUUCCCGCGAACGUAUUCGGAAGCACUCCAUGUUUUCAGCUCCACUCCAAAACCUUAAGCCAAACUCCCUGGUUCCACCAACUCCAAUUCCAGAAACAACAACAUAGACCAGGCUUGAUCCGAAUUCUGAGCAUUGCUGGGCCGGUCGUGAAAAUGUUU